This 469-nucleotide ribosomal RNA is filed under the name Bacillus sp. enrichment culture clone A5p. RNAcentral describes it as "bacterial SSU rRNA". It matches the Rfam family "Bacterial small subunit ribosomal RNA", at positions 75 to 530 of the family's 1533-position model. Lineage: Bacteria; Bacillati; Bacillota; Bacilli; Caryophanales; Bacillaceae. The record is from RNAcentral.
AAACUUGCUUUUCAAACUUAGCGGCGGACGGGUGAGUACACGUGGGCACCUGCCCUUGAGACGGGGAUAACUCCGGGAAACCGGAGCUAAUACCGGAUAACACAUAUCUUCGCAUGAGGAUAUGUUAGAAGGUGGCUUUUAGCUACCACUCAAGGAUGGGCCCGCGGCGCAUUAGCUAGUUGGUGAGGUAACGGCUCACCAAGGCGACGAUGCGUAGCCGACCUGAGAGGGUGAUCGGCCACACUGGGACUGAGACACGGCCCAGACUCCUACGGGAGGCAGCAGUAGGGAAUCUUCCGCAAUGGACGAAAGUCUGACGGAGCAACGCCGCGUGAGUGAUGAAGGUUUUCGGAUCGUAAAGCUCUGUUGUUAGGGAAGAACAAGUACCUGUUNAAUAAGCAGGUACCUUGACGGUACCUAACCAGAAAGCCACGGCUAACUACGUGCCAGCAGCCGCGGUAAUACGUAG